Non-coding RNA from Schistosoma mattheei, 45 nucleotides. The record is from Rfam. Lineage: Eukaryota; Metazoa; Platyhelminthes; Trematoda; Strigeidida; Schistosomatidae.
AUCUAGCUGACGAAUUUCAAAUAGGACGAAACGCGCUUCCAUGAU